GGGCGGAUGGUUUAGUGGUAUAAUACUCCCUUAGCAAGAUUCAUUCAACUGAGUUAUCUGGGAGUGGUCCAGGGUUCGAUUCCCUGUUCGUCCA
This 94-nucleotide transfer RNA is filed under the name Metarhizium acridum. RNAcentral describes it as "tRNA-Ala". It matches the Rfam family "tRNA". From Rfam's summary of the family: Transfer RNA (tRNA) molecules are approximately 80 nucleotides in length. The record is from RNAcentral. RNAcentral also lists the same sequence under 1 other name. Lineage: Eukaryota; Fungi; Ascomycota; Sordariomycetes; Hypocreales; Clavicipitaceae.